This 367-nucleotide ribosomal RNA is filed under the name uncultured bacterium. RNAcentral's name for it is "partial 16S ribosomal RNA". It matches the Rfam family "Bacterial small subunit ribosomal RNA", at positions 338 to 722 of the family's 1533-position model. The record is from RNAcentral.
CCUACGGGUGGCAGCAGUGAGGAAUAUUGCUCAAUGGGGGAAACCCUGAAGCAGCAACGCCGCGUGGAGGAUGACGGUUUUCGGAUUGUAAACUCCUUUUGUUAGGGAAGAUACUGACGUUAUCUAACGAAUAAGCACCGGCUAACUCCGUGCCAGCAGCCGCGGUAAUACGGAGGGUGCAAGCGUUACUCGGAAUCACUGGGCGUAAAGAGCGCGUAGGCGGGAUAGCAAGUCAGAUGGGAAAUCCUAGGGCUUAACCAUAGAAUUGCAUUUGAAACUGGCCUUCUUGAGUAUGGGGGGGGGAGGUGGAAUUCUUGGUGUAGGGGUAAAAUGCGUAGAGAUGAAGAGGAAUACUGAUUGCGAAGGC